Molecule: non-coding RNA, 573 nt
Organism: Saimiri boliviensis boliviensis (Bolivian squirrel monkey)
Lineage: Eukaryota; Metazoa; Chordata; Mammalia; Primates; Cebidae
Source: the annotation of a RefSeq genome assembly
AUGUUGCAACUUAUUGCCGUCAACAGCAUUACGGUACUAGAGACGGGAUUCUCAGGUGCUCCUCCAGAAGCCAGAGUGCAGCUGCCUCUGUUGGUAUGUGCUGAGUACCAGUGUGAUGAUCCUCAGACCUGUCCGCGAAGCACAGGGCCGGGGGUGCUGAUGCUCUCAGUUGCCUGCAGCACCUCUCUAGACUACAAGCAGGCUUGGCUCCUGGGGCUCCUGCUGCUCUGGCUCCCAGGUGCCAGAUGUGACAUCCAGAUGACCCAAUCUCCAUCCUUCCUGUCUGCAUCUGCGGGAGACAGAGUCACCAUCACCUGCCAGGUGAGUCAGGGAAUUAGCAAUGAAUUACCCUGGUAUCAGCAGAAACCAGGGAAAGCCCCUACGCUCUUGAUCUUUGCUGCAACCCGAUUGCAGUCGGGAAUCCCAUCUCAGUUUAGUGGCCCUGGAUCUGGGACAGAUUUCACUCUCAACAUCAGCAGCCUGCAGCCUGAUGAUUUUGCCACUUAUUACUGUCAACAGGAUUACAGUUACCCUCCCACAGUGUUGCAGGUCAUAACAAUAACCACCCAGUGA